UGGAUCCAGACUUUGAUUCUGGCUCAGGAUGAACGCUAGCUACAGGCUUAACACAUGCAAGUCGAGGGGAAACGACAUCGAAAGCUUGCUUUUGAUGGGCGUCGACCGGCGCACGGGUGAGUAACGCGUAUCCAACCUGCCCAUCACUUGGGGAUAACCUUGCGAAAGUAAGACUAAUACCCAAUGACGUCUCUAGAAGACAUCUGAAAGAGAUUAAAGAUUUAUCGGUGAUGGAUGGGGAUGCGUCUGAUUAGCUUGUUGGCGGGGUAACGGCCCACCAAGGCAACGAUCAGUAGGGGUUCUGAGAGGAAGGUCCCCCACAUUGGAACUGAGACACGGUCCAAACUCCUACGGGAGGCAGCAGUGAGGAAUAUUGGUCAAUGGGCGAGAGCCUGAACCAGCCAAGUAGCGUGCAGGAUGACGGCCCUAUGGGUUGUAAACUGCUUUUAUAAGGGAAUAAAGUGAGUCUCGUGAGACUUUUUGCAUGUACCUUAUGAACAAGGACCGGCUAAUUCCGUGCCAGCAGCCGCGGUAAUACGGAAGGUCCGGGCGUUAUCCGGAUUUAUUGGGUUUAAAGGGAGCGUAGGCCGGAGAUUAAGCGUGUUGUGAAAUGUAGACGCUCAACGUCUGCACUGCAGCGCGAACUGGUUUCCUUGAGUACGCACAAAGUGGGCGGAAUUCGUGGUGUAGCGGUGAAAUGCUUAGAUAUCACGAAGAACUCCGAUUGCGAAGGCAGCUCACUGGAGCGCAACUGACGCUGAAGCUCGAAAGUGCGGGUAUCGAACAGGAUUAGAUACCCUGGUAGUCCGCACGGUAAACGAUGGAUGCCCGCUGUUGGUCUGAAUAGGUCAGCGGCCAAGCGAAAGCAUUAAGCAUCCCACCUGGGGAGUACGCCGGCAACGGUGCAACUCAAAUGAAUUGACGGA
This 926-nucleotide ribosomal RNA is filed under the name uncultured Bacteroidota bacterium. Its description in RNAcentral is "bacterial SSU rRNA". It matches the Rfam family "Bacterial small subunit ribosomal RNA", at positions 1 to 917 of the family's 1533-position model. The record is from RNAcentral. Lineage: Bacteria; Pseudomonadati; Bacteroidota.